CCUACGGGUGGCAGCAGUGGGGAAUAUUGGGCAAUGGAGGAAACUCUGACCCAGCAACGCCGCGUGAAUGAUGAAGGUCUUCGGAUUGUAAAGCUCUUUUCUAAGGGAAGAAGAAAGUGACGGUACCUUAGGAAUAAGCUUCGGCUAACUACGCGCCAGCAGCCGCGGCAAUACGUAGGAGGCGAGCGUUCUCCGGAAGGACUGGGCGUAAGGGGUGCGUAGGUGGUUUGGCAAGGUAGGAGCGAAACGCCAUGGCUCAACCUUGGAACUACUACUGAAACUGUUGGACUUGAGUGCAGGAGAGGCAACCGGAAUUCCUAGUGUAGCGGUGAAAUGCGUAGAUAUUAGGAGGAACACCAGUGGCGAAGGCGGGUUGCUGGACGGUAACUGACGCUGAGGCACGAAAGCGUGGGGAGCAAACAGGAUUAGAUACCCGGGUAGUC
This 443-nucleotide ribosomal RNA is filed under the name uncultured bacterium. RNAcentral's name for it is "partial 16S ribosomal RNA". It matches the Rfam family "Bacterial small subunit ribosomal RNA", at positions 338 to 795 of the family's 1533-position model. The record is from RNAcentral.